RNAcentral lists this ribosomal RNA (253 nucleotides) under uncultured bacterium. RNAcentral's name for it is "partial 16S ribosomal RNA". It matches the Rfam family "Bacterial small subunit ribosomal RNA", at positions 524 to 776 of the family's 1533-position model. The record is from RNAcentral.
GACGAACCGUGCAAACGUUAUUCGGAAUCACUGGGCUUAAAGGGCGCGUAGGCGGGCCGCCCGGUCCGGGGUGAAAUCCUCCAGCUCAACUGGAGAAGUGCCUUGGAUACCGGCGGCCUCGAGGGAGGCAGGGGCGUGCGGAACUUCGGGUGGAGCGGUGAAAUGCGUAGAUAUCCGAAGGAACACCGGUGGCGAAAGCGGCGCGCUGGACCUCUUCUGACGCUGAUGCGCGAAAGCGUGGGGAGCAAACAGG